CUGGCCUGGAACCUACAGAGAUCCGCCUGCCUCUGCCUCCCGAGUGCUUGGAUUAAAGAAUGCAGGGACAUAUGACAAUGUGCAUGUUGACUUUACUUAGGAAAAGUGGGCUUUGCUGGAUCCUUCCCAGAAGACUCUCCAUAAAGAUGUGAUAUUGGAGACUACAGGAUCCUUACUGCUAUAGAUUUCCUCCAGAUGUCGUUUGUUUUCCAUGCUGGCUUGGAUGUCAGUAAUUAGUCAGGGCUCCCUUUGAACUCAUAGGUCUGGUGUUUCAUCCUCCUGAGUUCAAGACCAACAGUAGAUGAUGUACUCCUGAUGUGUGCUCCUUUGUAGACAUGUUUUAACAAUGUUAAUAUUAACAUGCUUAAUAGAAGAUAAGAAAAUACUUCAUGUGUCUAUCCCAAGAAGUGUCUGGUGGAGAUAUAAUAAAAUAGAAUAAUCAUCAAUCAUCUGUGUAUCUCAUAACAUAGCUUGUUGUAUUAUGGAGAUGUAUAUAGUUUUCAACAUUCCUGCUUCUUCAUGAUCCAGUUUUUAUCCAUUUGGCACUCAUCUUGAAGUAUUUUCUCCUAAAGGAAUUAUCUACAGAUGCCAGGUAAUGUAAAGACAGAUUUAUUUUUUAAAAACAUGUCUGGUGUGUGUGUGUGUGUGUGUGUGUGUGUGUGUGUGUGAUGAUGGGUUAGAAUGGGUAACAGAUAUGUUUGUGGGUUUUUUUUUAGUCUUAUUCACAUGUGAUCAAGGUCAGGUUGCCAGUCUUGCACACAACAUCACAUCAGUAUAAUAUUGUUCUCUAUUCAAAGUGGAAUUAUACUAUCAUUUAAGAAAAGAUCAACACAGGAUCUAUUUAUGCUCCCAUCUUUCUGUAUUUUUGUUAGUUUAUUCUUGGGUACUUUACAUUUGUGGUACCAGCACCGAUGUCCCCAGGAGCCGGGGAGAUGAAAUGCCAACUCAAGGGAUCAUGCAAUGAGCUAC
RNAcentral lists this long non-coding RNA (969 nucleotides) under Cricetulus griseus (Chinese hamster). RNAcentral describes it as "lncRNA (ENSCGRG00015029443.1)". Lineage: Eukaryota; Metazoa; Chordata; Mammalia; Rodentia; Cricetidae. The record is from RNAcentral.